AUGCGGGGCCGGAUGGCGCAGAUCUGGCCCGUGGUCCGGGAGCACCUCGGACGGGCCCAGCAGGCCCAAGCCCGGGUAUACAACCGAGGGGCCCAGCUCCGCACCUUCAACCCGGGGGACCAGGUGCUGGUCCUCGUCCCGACCGCCGAGUGUAAGUUCCUGGCCAAAUGGCAGGGUCCCUACGACGUCAUCGAGCGGGUCGGCGACGUCAACUACCGGGUGCGGCAACCGGGGAGACGCAAGGACGUCCAGGUCUACCACAUCAACCUGCAUCCACCGACAGCCCCGCGAGAACCAGACCUCCUGUCCGAGGUGGGGCUGGGAGCGGUCUUAUCCCAGGUCCGGUCGGGCGAGGAGCACCCGGUGACCUAUAUCAGCCGGAAACUCCUGGCCAGCGAGAAAGCCUACUCGACUGUGGAGAAGGAGGUGCUGGCGAUAAAGUGGACACUGGAGAAACUUCGCUACUACCUCCUCGGACGCACCUUCACCCUGGUCACAGACCACGCCCCCCUGAAGUGGAUGGCCACGGCCAAGGACACCAACGCCCGGGUGACGCGCUGGUUCCUGGCUCUGCAGGAUUACCACUUCCAGGUGGUCCACCGCCUCGGACGCGCACAUGCCAACGCCGACGCACUGUCCCGGAGGGACGCCUGCCUAGGCCUGUCCCGGGGGGUCCCCGACUUGCAGCUGAGGGUGGGGGUGUGUGGCAACCCCGAUCCGACGGAGGAGUUCGAGCCCCGCAAGUGCCCUCUCCGCGGGCAGGUAGUCCGCGGGAGAUAUGUGCCGCUCGGCGCGGCGACGCGGGAGCGCGCAUCGAGCGCACCCGCGCAAUCACGGAGAUGCGGAGCACCCGGCGGAGGGAGACGGCGGAGGGUUCUUAAGGACCGAGCGCGCACCAGUCAUGGAAGUGCGUCCGAGCUGGAGAGACGCGGUAGGGGGAGACUUCCGAGGCCCACGCUACUACUGACAUUUCGCCUCUCCCCAGGACUAAGCAGCAGGAGACCCAAGGGAGUGAGACGCCGACCCAAGGGAGGACCAGCCCCGGGGCGGUUCCCUUUUCUCCCCAGACCAGGAAGA
RNAcentral lists this long non-coding RNA (1077 nucleotides) under Gadus morhua (Atlantic cod). RNAcentral describes it as "lncRNA (ENSGMOG00000032939.1)". Lineage: Eukaryota; Metazoa; Chordata; Actinopteri; Gadiformes; Gadidae. The record is from RNAcentral.